This 205-nucleotide long non-coding RNA is filed under the name Dermacentor andersoni. RNAcentral's name for it is "uncharacterized LOC126529047". The record is from RNAcentral. Lineage: Eukaryota; Metazoa; Arthropoda; Arachnida; Ixodida; Ixodidae.
CGCAGGAUGGAUCCGCGCAUGCGGAGCACCUCCCGUGUCAGCAUCCACCAGAGCAGUCCGAUGGAGUGCUGGCUCUUGUUGUUGCAUGGGAUGGCGAUGUCCACGUAGCGCAGGCUGGCAUCCGUGUUGCAGAAGGCUAUCACCGGCAGGUUGACGUACGAUGCCUCCGUGACGGGCUGGUGGUCCGCCCGCGGGUCGCACACGA